GAUGAACGCUAGCUACAGGCUUAACACAUGCAAGUCGAGGGGAAACGGCAUCGAAAGCUUGCUUUUGAUGGGCGUCGAACGGCGCACGGGUGAGUAACGCGUAUCCAACCUGCCCAUCACUUGGGAAUAACCUUGCGAAAGUAAGACUAAUGCCCAAUGACAUCCCACGAAGGCAUCCGAAUGGGAUUAAAGAUUUAUCGGUGAUGGAUGGGGAUGCGUCUGAUUAGCUUGUUGGCGGGGUGACGGCCCACCAAGGCAACGAUCAGUAGGGGUUCUGAGAGGAAGGUCCCCCACAUUAGAUCUGGGACACGGUCCAAACUCCUACGGGCGGUAUCAAUGAGGCAUAUUUGUCAAUGGGCGAGACCCUGAACCAUCCAAGUAGUGUGCAGGAUGUCGGCCCUCUGGGUUGUAAACUGCUUUUAUAAGGGCAUAAAGUUCGUAACGACUGACUUUUUGCAUGUACCUUAUGAAUAAGGACCGGCUAAUUCCGUG
Molecule: ribosomal RNA, 492 nt
Filed under: uncultured bacterium
Lineage: Bacteria
Description: partial 16S ribosomal RNA
Rfam family: Bacterial small subunit ribosomal RNA
Source: RNAcentral